GAUGAACGCUGGCGGCGUGCUUAACACAUGCAAGUCGAGCGGAAAGACGCUGCUUUUGUGGGGUGCCCGAGUGGCGAAGGGGUGAGUAACACGUGAGUAUCCCGCCCUUGACUUUGGGAUAACUUCAGGAAACUGGGGCUACUACCGGAUAGGAGCUCUUGCUGCAUGGGGGUGGUUGGAAAGUUUCGGCGGUUGGGGGUGGACUCGCGGGUUACCAGCUGGUUGGUGGGGUAGUGGCUUACCAGGCCUUCGACGGGUAGCCUGCCUGGGAGGGGGACCGGGCACCUGAGGACUGAGAGACGGAGCAGAGGGGUACGGGAGGCAGCAGGGGGGAGUAUUGCACAAUGGGGCGAAGUGUGAUACAGAAGCGCCGCGUGCGGGAUGCUGGCCUUCUGGUUGUAAACCGCUUUGGCCUGUGACGAUGCGUUUUUGACGGUACUGGAUAAAGAAGCACCGGCUAACUACGUG
This 468-nucleotide ribosomal RNA is filed under the name uncultured bacterium. RNAcentral describes it as "partial 16S ribosomal RNA". It matches the Rfam family "Bacterial small subunit ribosomal RNA", at positions 28 to 507 of the family's 1533-position model. The record is from RNAcentral.